CCCCACUGAAUUAUAUUCACUUCCCCGACCAGCUAUUGGAUGCUGGCAGAGUGUUUGGAUUGUUCCUGCGCCUGGGCUCCAUCCGACCAAACAGCGAUUGCUACUCGACUAUUAAGUUUUCCUGGUAUUCCUAAUCUCCAUCGCAGCCGAGUCCAAAACGUUAAGAGCUGCUCGGUCCUUGAAACGGUCGCUCCCGGCGCCCGCGGCAGCGGCAAGAUGGCGGACGGGCACGGCUUGUGUGAAGCCGGCGAUGCGACCUCGACUCCGGCACCUCCUCCCGACCUGAACCCGAGGCUGGGCUGGAAGGAGCGGCUACGGGCCGGGCUGGCGGGAACGGGGGCCUCGUUGUGGUUCGUGGCGGGGUUGGGGCUGCUUUACGCUCUGAGGGUCCCGCUGAGGCUGUGUGAGACCUUGGCAGCGGUGACAGUGUUUUUAAAUUCAUUGACACCCAAAUUCUAUGUGGCACUUACAGGGAUCUCUUCUUUGAUAUCAGGACUAAUAUUUAUAUUUGAAUGGUGGUACUUCAAUAAGCAUGGCACAUCUUUUAUCGAGCAAGUGUCUGUAAACCAUUUGAGACCACUGAUGGGAGGAGCAGAAAGCAACUCCUCAGAGCCAGUUUCUCUUUCCAGCAACAGACAAAGUGUAACCAGCAGACAGAAUUUGUCAGAAUGUAAAGUUUGGAAAAAUCCUCUAAACCUUUUCAGAGGAGCAGAAUAUAGGAGAUACACGUGGGUGACUGGGAAAGAGCCACUUACGUACUAUGACAUGAACUUGUCGGCUCAGGACCAUCAGACCCUUUUCACCUGUGACACAGACAGCCUGCGUCCUUCAGACACAGUUAUGCAGAAGGCAUGGAGGGAAAGAAAUCCCCCAGCUCGGAUCAAAGCAGCCUAUCAAGCUUUAGAACUAAACAAUGACUGUGCCACUGCUUACGUCCUAUUGGCUGAGGAAGAAGCAACAACCAUUAUAGAUGCAGAAAGGUUAUUUAAGCAGGCACUCAAAGCAGGAGAAACAAUGUACAGGCGAUCGCAGCAGUGCCAGCACCAAAGUCCCCAGCAUGAAGCUCAACUGAGGAGAGAUACCAAUGUGCUGGUGUAUAUUAAAAGAAGAUUGGCAAUGUGUGCGAGAAAGUUAGGAAGAAUAAGAGAAGCAGUAAAAAUAAUGAGAGAUUUGAUGAAAGAAUUUCCUCUUCUUACCAUGUUGAACAUCCAUGAAAAUCUCUUAGAAUCACUUUUAGAAUUACAGGCCUAUGCAGAUGUUCAGGCAGUCCUAGCAAAGUAUGAUGAUAUAAGCCUUCCUAAGUCAGCAGCAAUCUGUUAUACAGCAGCUUUGUUGAAGACAAGGACUGUUUCAGAGAAAUUCUCACCAGAAACAGCCUCUAGAAGAGGGUUAAGCACAGCAGAGAUUAAUGCUGUGGAAGCAAUUCAUAGAGCUGUGGAAUUUAAUCCUCAUGUGCCAAAAUAUUUGCUAGAGAUGAAAAGUUUGAUUUUGCCCCCAGAGCACAUUUUGAAACGGGGUGAUAGUGAAGCAAUUGCCUAUGCUUUCUUUCAUCUUCAGCACUGGAAGCGAAUAGAAGGUGCUCUUAACCUCUUACAGUGCACAUGGGAAGGCACUUUCAGAAUGAUUCCGUACCCACUAGAGAAAGGACAUCUAUUUUAUCCUUAUCCCAGCUGUGCAGAGACUGCUGAUAGAGAGCUAUUGCCUAAUUUUCAUCAUGUUUCUGUUUACCCAAAGAAAGAGCUUCCUUUUUUCAUCCAUUUCACAGCAGGACUGUGCUCUUCUACAGCGAUGAUAGCCCUUCUCACACACCAGUUUCCUGAAAUCAUGGGUAUUUUUGCCAAAGUUAGUCAAGGGACAAGUUGGUGAAAGAUUACUGUGGUCCAUAUAAAACCUAAGAAAUUCAGUCUUGACCUGCCAAGGCAACUUCUGGUGGCAUCUGAAAUUCAGGAUACCUAUUGCAGGCCCUACUUUGGAUUUUGUAAGACUUAAUUUUAUGCCUGUGAGAAAAAUCAACACACAUGACUUACCCUCCAACCCAGAGAUUCUACUU
Ochotona princeps (American pika) is the source of this 2050-nucleotide RNA transcript. It is a transcript of the gene named suppression of tumorigenicity 7 like, with no coding region annotated. Lineage: Eukaryota; Metazoa; Chordata; Mammalia; Lagomorpha; Ochotonidae. The record is from RefSeq and is a predicted model, not a curated record. The transcript is spliced from 17 exons.